GAUGAACGCUGGCUACAGGCUUAACACAUGCAAGUCGAGGGGAAACGACGGGGAAGCUUGCUUCCCCGGGCGUCGACCGGCGCACGGGUGAGUAACGCGUAUCCAACCUGCCUCUGACUGAGGAAUAACCCGUCGAAAGUCGGCCUAAUACCUCAUGGCAUCGUCUGCGGGCAUCCAACGACGAUUAAGGAUUUCAUCGGUCAGAGAUGGGGAUGCGUCUGAUUAGCUUGUUGGCGGGGUAACGGCCCACCAAGGCGACGAUCAGUAGGGGUUCUGAGAGGAAGGUCCCCCACAUUGGAACUGAGACACGGUCCAAACUCCUACGGGAGGCAGCAGUGAGGAAUAUUGGUCAAUGGGCGAGAGCCUGAACCAGCCAAGUAGCGUGCAGGAUGACGGCCCUAUGGGCUGUAAACUGCUUUUAUGCGGGGAUAAAGUGAGGGACGUGUCCUUCAUUGCAGGUACCGCAUGAAUAAGGACCGGCUAAUUCCGUG
This 491-nucleotide ribosomal RNA is filed under the name uncultured bacterium. RNAcentral describes it as "partial 16S ribosomal RNA". It matches the Rfam family "Bacterial small subunit ribosomal RNA", at positions 28 to 507 of the family's 1533-position model. The record is from RNAcentral.